RNAcentral lists this ribosomal RNA (494 nucleotides) under uncultured bacterium. Its description in RNAcentral is "partial 16S ribosomal RNA". It matches the Rfam family "Bacterial small subunit ribosomal RNA", at positions 28 to 507 of the family's 1533-position model. The record is from RNAcentral.
GACGAACGCUGGCGGCGUGCUUAACACAUGCAAGUCGAACGGUGAAGCGCCUUCCUUUUUGGUGGGUGUGGAUGAGUGGCGAACGGGUGAGUAACACGUGAGUCACCUGCCCCCUUCUUCUGGAUAACCGCAUGCAAGUGUGGCUACUACGUGAUAUUCUGGGUCUGUCGCAUGAUUGGUCUGGGAAAGAUUUUGUUUCGGUUGGGGAUGGGCCGGCGGCCUAUCAGCUUGUUGGUGGGGUGAUGGCCUACCAAGGCGGUGACGGGUAGCCGGCCCGAGAGGGUGGACGGCCACACAGGGAAGGAGACACGGCGCAGACUCCUACGGGAGGCAGCAGGGGGGAUUAUGGCACGAGGGACGCAAGCCUGAUGCAGCGACGCCGCGUGAGUGAUGGAGGCCUUCGGGUUGUGAACCUCUUUCGCCAGUGAAGCAGGCCUUCCGCGUUUGUGGAUGGGUUGACGGUAGCUGGAUAAGAAGCGCCGGCUAACUACGUG